UAUAUUCCUUUAAUGCAGCUCUAAAUAAUUUAAUACAUUACUGUUUAUGAACAUUAAUGACACAUUAAACUAUGUUCUGAAAGUGAGAUUCAUGUUGUCUCCUUUGUUCACCUGCUAUUAAAAUUGCAUCUGAUAACACGUAAUACCACCGAAUGUCUAGGUUGAGUGGUUAACACUCCUCCUUCAUACUCGGUAAAUCUCAGGUUCAAGUCUAGGCCAGGAGACAGGCAAUUCCGGAUUUCCGUGGUUUUUCUCAGUCCCUCCAUACAAUGCAGAGCUAGCAAGUUAAAUUAGGCCAAUAAUAAUUUAUUAUACAUCCUUUCCAAAUUACUAUUCAUCUCAUACAGUCUGAGCUACUGAAAAAGCGUCGUUAAGUAUACUAUAAAUAAACACUCGGCGCCGAACAUUUGGCGACUGCCUGUCUUACUAAACACAAUGUGGUUGAAGUUGGUGAUCUAAUGCUGUUGAUUUCUUUUGAAAAUCUGUGGAGAGUUCAACAAACGGCAAAGUAGCUACGAUGCAGACACGGAAAUCCUGUUUACGGAACCCUCAUACAACUCGGAUUCGAUUAUAAAUGUAUUUGCAUUAGCAGUUUAUUUAACCUUGCAUUCAGCACGACAGAGGGUGCGUAUAAAAGCGAAUGAGAGAAUAACAGUGAAUGAUGAACUGGAACGAGUGUGGAAGGAAGUGGUGGUGGCCUAAUUUAAGGUACUGCCCUGGCAUUUACCUGGAGGGAUGGUGAUAAUCACAGAAUACCUCAGUCAGGAUGUUUGGUCUCGGGGCUGAGACUUGAACCUGGCGUAUUCUUUUAAAUACUAAAUAGUGUUGAAUAAAUUCGAAAUAUAAUUUUCUGACCGCGGAAUAUUUAAUUACACGCAAAUAAAUGUUGUAACGUCAUGACACUAGAUGAGAGAACAAAGAUUCUAGAUAAGUUGCGCGGUGGUAAGAGCAGAGCAACAGUUGGCUAAACAUUUCCUUAAUAUUUUAUUUUAAUACUUUCUUUACAGAUGAUACUACAGUUUGUUCACAUAAACAUCAUUACAGUAUA
Long non-coding RNA from Zootermopsis nevadensis, 1048 nucleotides. RefSeq lists it as uncharacterized. NCBI's taxonomy places the organism in Eukaryota, Metazoa, Arthropoda, Insecta, Blattodea, Termopsidae. The record is from RefSeq and is a predicted model, not a curated record.